GUCCAACGGUUUCAUAAUGUCCAAUUCCCGGAAUGUCCAAUUCCCAAAAUGUCCAAUUCUCAAAAUGACCAAUUCCCAAAAUGUCCAAUUCCUGAAAUGUCCUGUUCCAGAAACGUCCAAUUCCCAAAAUGUCAAAUCUGCUAUUAUGAUGGGUUUGUUAAAAUAAGUCCUCAUUCUUCCGUUAAUGUUGAGUGUUAUCGGUACACGCUAAAUCAGUGUUACUUUACUAAAACUACCUCCUUCUUAUAAAGACAGAUUAAUCCGAAAUCUAAUUGUGCAAAUGUUGUAUGGAUUGAAGUAUUCGGUCCCUACAAACAUAUUUGCAACAUUAUAAAAUGCAUGAAAAAAAAACGCGAACGGUCGGGGGGUCGCCAAAAUUUUUUUCAUACUAGGGGGGUCGUGUUAUGAAAAAGGUUGAAAAACACUGCGCUAAAUGAUCCAUGAGUGCACACGCACACUACAGUAAUGCCUUACGGAUUGCUCGGACCACACUCCCCGCACCCCGCGCGACCGGGACCAAACAUUGCGCGCGGCCGAGUGGAUGAAACGAUCUAUAGCCAAAAAGUUAUCAAUACGUCUUUGGUACAGUUGGACUCAACUUUUUGGUCACUAGGUGUCAUGAACUACUUAUUAACGCUGACUGAAAUAACAACAUUAUUUUAGCCUAGGCGCAGACCAGCGAUUUUUAGUUGGCCGAUAGUUGGGCCCGUUUUUAAUUUGUAUGAAGAAUCGGCCGAUACCAAAUCGGUGUAAUGUGCGCACUUCCAUACAUCUCCAUACUGACUGAAAGUCGGUGGUCUGCGCUUAGGCUUAAACAUUUAUUUUUCUAAAUACAAAUAUUGUAAGAACGUUUGUUUGAUUCCUAUAUAAUGUGUAAUGUUUGUUUAUCGCCUAAGCCUGAGAAAAUUCAUACUACUAUUAUGAAAUAAAAUAAAUUUCAAGAUUUGUA
Molecule: long non-coding RNA, 949 nt
Organism: Ostrinia nubilalis (European corn borer)
Lineage: Eukaryota; Metazoa; Arthropoda; Insecta; Lepidoptera; Crambidae
Exons: 2
Source: RefSeq, a predicted model, not a curated record